UUUACACAUGCAAGUCGAACGGAAUUUAGAAGCUUGCUUUUAAAUUUAGUGGCGAACGGGUGAGUAAUAUAUCGGAACGUAUCCAAUAAUGGGGGAUAACUAAUCGAAAGGUUGGCUAAUACCGCAUACGCCCUACGGGGGAAAGCUAGGGACCUUCGGGCCUGGCGUUAAUGGAGCGGCCGAUAUCAGAUUAGCUAGUUGGUGAGGUAAAGGCUCACCAAGGCGACGAUCUGUAGCUGGUCUGAGAGGACGACCAGCCACACUGGAACUGAGACACGGUCCAGACUCCUACGGGAGGCAGCAGUGGGGAAUUUUGGACAAUGGGCGAAAGCCUGAUCCAGCCAUUCCGCGUGAGUGAAGAAGGCCUUCGGGUUGUAAAGCUCUUUCGCAAGGGAAGAACACUUAGUUACUAAUAUUAACUGAGGUUGACGGUACCUUGAUAAGAAGCACCGGCUAACUACGUGCCAGCAGCCGCGGUAAUACGUAGGGUGCGAGCGUUAAUCGGAAUUACUGGGCGUAAAGCGUGCGCAGGCUGUUUUGUAAGUCAGAUGUGAAAUCCCUGAGCUCAACUUAGGAACUGCGUUUGAAACUACAAGACUAGAAUAUGUCAGAGGGGGGUAGAAUUCCACGUGUAGCAGUGAAAUGCGUAGAGAUGUGGAGGAAUACCAAUGGCGAAGGCAGCCCCCUGGGAUAAUAUUGACGCUCAUGCACGAAAGCGUGGGGAGCAAACAGGAUUA
Molecule: ribosomal RNA, 737 nt
Filed under: uncultured bacterium
Lineage: Bacteria
Description: bacterial SSU rRNA
Rfam family: Bacterial small subunit ribosomal RNA
Source: RNAcentral